CAAGAUGAAGCUUAAAGCGAUUUAUUUACAUUAAAUAGUACUUUGGACCCAAAGCGUUUUGA
RNAcentral lists this transfer RNA (62 nucleotides) under Nelima paessleri. RNAcentral's name for it is "tRNA-Val". The record is from RNAcentral. Lineage: Eukaryota; Metazoa; Arthropoda; Arachnida; Opiliones; Sclerosomatidae.